Molecule: small nucleolar RNA, 107 nt
Organism: Lycium ferocissimum
Lineage: Eukaryota; Viridiplantae; Streptophyta; Magnoliopsida; Solanales; Solanaceae
Source: RefSeq, a predicted model, not a curated record
AAAUCAUGAUUUGGAAACCGCUGCAAAUACUCCUUGAAUCUCUCCUAAGACUCAUAUAAUUGCUCCCCCGGAAGCUGUUUGAACUCAUAGAUUUUAUCACGGAUCUU